GGCAAAAAUAUAUAAAUUUUCAUAUAGAACCAUAGGCAGUCAUGAUAACGUAAAGAAGAGACAUAGAUGCAUUGCUUAUUUUGAUUAUUGACAGGGACAGGGGAUUGCCAUCACUGGGGUUUUAUGGAUUAGACAGAGGAAUCUCAUGCUCCAAGCCAAUAGAAGCAUUCACACACAGUGAUCUCCGUUUCACUAUGCUGAGAAAAUUUUCUAUCAAGACUUUGCUUGCUACUCAUAAUCAACCAUCUUAACCAUAAGGAAUAAUGAAAUCGAUUUUAUUGGAAUGGAAAUAGGAAUCAAUUGAAUAAAUUAAAUGAUUGAUAACUACCAAUAUCUAAUUUCUUCCUUUAUUGUUGUUGUAUAUGAAAAAAUGGAGAAAGACUUCCAAGCUCAGCCCUUUUUUUGGCCUCUCUUCUAAAAGGCUUCCUGUUUCGCCACCACAAUCGAUCAAUUCCACUUGUUCGAACAAAUUUGCUAUUACUAGUUGUAAACUUGGUCUCCAGGGGCUUCUUUUUCCAUUCUGUGUGCUGUGGAGAAAGUUUUUUUGGUUCUACAGGCUUGGCACUUGUCAAUCUCUCAUUAUCCAUUUGCGAUGAUGUAGAUAACUCCAUUUUUUGAGGUUCACAUGCAGCGCAAACAUAGAUCUUUGGAGGGCAGAGUAACUUAAUACAAUCAACAUGAUACCACUCAUCACAUCGAUCACAAGUAACUUUUGGUCUAUCAUCAUAUGGUUUCCGACAAAUGCAGUACACCAUACUUCGAGUUCUCAAUAACUUCAGUUCCUUCUCCAAGUAAACUGGCAAAUUUUCAACUUCUGAAAUAAGUUCAAAAACUUGAUCCAAACCAAGAGCCCCAGAAUCUGAUGCGACCUUCUUGGCAUGAUCUGCCCACUGCAAACCAAUGUGCUUUAACUCUGUGACUUUUUGUAGGAAGUAAUCUUCAGCAGGUAUAUUCACAGCCAGUCCCUCUUUCAUAAGCUGCUCAAUCUGUUGCAUUGUGGGCUUCUGUAUACUCUCUAAUAAUCUCUUAGACUUCACUCUCCAGGAAUUUCUUGCUAACGCCUGUUCAAGGCCAUAGUUACCUUGAUGAUCAUGAACACCUGCUACUCGCAUGACCUUCAAAGCAAUAAUCAUUUUUCUAGAGAUAACAUUAAGAUCUUUCCCCAAAUACGAUAAUUCAAAAUCCAAUAUUUCUCUCAAGCAUGUUUUGCAUUCCCGAGCUUGCUCCACAACCUGUCGUAAUGUAUCUAUUUCUUCAAUCCCUAGAGAGAAAUGUUCUGCAUCAGAUAAAUGUUUGAUCAGCAUACUUAACUCAGGUUGCCUCACCCCAUAUCUCUCAUUUUGAAUCAUUGAUGGAUCCUCACAAAAAUGACAAUAAGGGCAAAUAUAGACUUCUGCAUCAUUCACAUCAAGUGAUGCUGGCUCUAGGCACCGCGUAUGGUAGAGGUCUUUGCAUGUUGAACAAGUUAAAAACUCCUGAUCUUCACUAUUCCCAGUGCAACACAAGAAUAAGUUUCUCACUGUAAAGCUCUGCAACUUGCCAUAGAUGUACAGGGAUAUAUCUAGAGAAUGUUUGAUCUUUUGUAAGGCACCAAGCAAAGGAUGCCCAUCAUCUACAAGGAUUCCUAAAAUCUCCACACAUUGUUCCUUCCACUUUUCAACUUUUUGAACUUCAGAUGAAACCAUAUCUAGCUCGGAACAACUAAAUGCGCCAGCCUUCCCAAAUUCCUCAAGUUCUAGUAACAAAGACCAAGAACGUUCCUCAGCCUUAAGAUGAAAAAAUUGAUCCACUUGCUCUUGCCACAACUUGUGUUUCUGAAUAGCAUUUACCAGUUGAUCAACCACCAUUGGAAAGGAGACAUUUAAACUCUGAGAUUUCGCAAGAACUUCUUCUGCCUCACUCAACCUGCAUCUUUCAAAAUUACUUCGCAUAUGAAUCAACUCCAAGGCUUUCCUGAGCCAUUUAACCCCACCAAUUAAAGAGCUCCACAGAGAACUAGAAACACAUGUAAUAGAGAGAUUCUCUGAAGCCUCCAACAAGCUCUCAACAUCCUCAAAGGAAGGAGCAGCAUAGCACAAAGAAAGGGCCCUAUUGCACCAUUGCAGCAUAGAACAAGCAUUCUGAAGUUUUGGAAUCUCAAGGAAGUCAAAACCAAGAGAUAGACCAGCUUUUGUGAUGGAUUCUAUUCUAGUAACUGAAAGCCCAAUUCUCAUUGUAAGAUCACUGUUCUUUUCAUCACCAACAUAACUUGUACUCAAUAUGCACCCUGCAUCCUGCAAUGCAUUGGAGGCAACCCGCUUCCAUUCCUCACAAUUCUUUAAAACCAUUUCAAGCAUUCUUCGUUCAUCUAAAGUUAUUUUAAGUAACUUGGACUGCAAAACUAAGUCCUUCAGGUCCUCAAGUUUAAGCAAAGAACAAGUGCCAGAUUCCAUGCGAGAGGAAGACCCUAAAAAUGCUUCUGAAUUCUUUACCCAUAACUUGGCCAUUACCACAGCAUCUUUGACAUCAUUUAAAGUAGGUAAAAUCACAGAUAUGUUUUUGGCACUCCUUAUAAUUUCCUCAAAGUCAGACAUUUCUGCUCCAUGUUCAAGAACUUUUGCUGCUUCUUCUUCCCAAGACAAGGCAGCUGCAAGCACUCCGGAUACAUCAACAAAUAACUUCUCGCUCUCAAUCUGUAGCGCAGUAGCAUCCAUCAUAAGUUGCUGAAUGAAGUCCAAGGGCAUUUUGGAAUUGCGUGCCUUCAAAGCUUUUUUCCUGCAACAAGCCUUCUUCAACUCAACCUCAAUAAGAGACAGCUUCUCAACUUGAAUUCUCAAAGAUGCUCCAUCUUUCAGAAGGCAUUCUAAUUCAUCAACCACAUUGUCUUGAUCUUCCUGUUGACCAACAUUCACCAAAACAUCAUCACAACGGGCAAUCCAUGAAACAGCAUCAAGGUGAUAUUGCUUCAGAAGCAUCAACUCUGGUACAUUAACAGUAAAUUUAUCCCAUUCUCGAAGUAGCCCUUCAACAUUGUUUAGACUAAUAGGAACUUUCAAAAUUUCACUACACUGAGCCUGACAUAAUUCAGCAUGUCUUAACAGAUCCAAAAGCAUUUCUGCUUCAGGAAGCCUUGCUUGAAGCUCUGAUAUCUCUGACUUCAACUUGUAAAGCAUAUCAAUACUAACUGCAGUAGAACCUUUUUCUGAGAUGCAUUUCUUUGCGCAUUCUGUCCAUGCCUUUGCCGAUGAAAUUUUCUGAAGUAAUUUCUCACUUUCUUUUAUAUAGAUUGGGAAAUCACAAACUUUUGAGCACAACAAUUCCAACUCGGAGAUCUGAGAGCGACAAUCAGAAAGAAUGAAUGAUAUUAACUAAACAGAGUGAAUAUGAGUAUAAAAUCAGUUCCAACAUUAUCACAAAAUCAUGUGCAAUGGUAUAUAUAGAGGUACUUUUGAACAUGAUGAUAAAACAGAAUCAAUUUCCUGAAUCAACAGCCUGGCUUCUUCUGCAUGCUUCUGCAUGAAAUAAAUCAAACAGGUGUUGUUUCAAUUAGCAGACCUAGAAAAAAAUGCAAAGCAGAAACCACUCACAAACCAUAAUAACCUUCAAUUUGAGAUGCCCAGGCUCAUUACAGGGCACAGGAUCAAAAUCCAGCAAUUCAUUGAUAUAAUCCAUGUGCACUCUCUCAAAAUUGCAGUGACAUGACCAGUUUUCAACUUUAGAAAGGCAAUCUCUUAUUCCUUCUGCCCAUUUCUGAGCUACAAUCAAUUUCUUUGCCAUGUCUCUCACUGGAUUCAUCUCAGAACCAGCCCAAAGAAAUUGUUCAGCUUCCUUCAGCAGCGUAGCAAAUGCAUCACUACAGUAUGCAUUCUGAAAAGUCUUGCAGGAGCGCAAAAGCCAUUGCUCAGCAAGUUGAGCCAGACUGACAUGGCCACCUUUGACCUUCUUUGUCAAGACAUUCAUCUCAUUGGUACGGGGGUUUUGCCUUUGUAAGCUAUAACUCUCUGAUUUCUCGUCAGAACCACACUUAUCCACUUUGAGCAGCAAACCAUACAAUUCUGCAAGCGUAUAACGAUAAAGAAGGCAAAGUCUGCUGGAUUUGCAUUCACAAAUGUGCUCCCAAUGCUCCAGGCAUACGUAUGCAGAUGGCCUACAAUUACAAACAACAGCAGAAAGAUAAAGAUACUGCUUGCAAAUAAUGCAUGUUGGAUCCUCUUCAGUACCAACAUAUUCAGGACAUUUCCGACAGGGCAUAAGAGAUGAUUUGACAAUGCCACUUCUCCAAAGUCUCUCUCUCCCGGUCUUCUCUUUAGUAUACAUCCUCAGCAAUUCUUUCUUCAAAUAAGGUGAUACUUGGUUAUCACAAUUGCCAAACUUAGCUACCACGCAAAGAAGUUCCUCAUGAGAUAAAACAGCAGUUUUAUGAUACAUCUGAUACCUAUCUGCUCCAAACCCACCAUGAGGUAGCCAGUCAGCAGGAGCAAAAUUGACAGCUUCUGCACAAUUCAAACCAAAAUUGAAUCCUCCAUGAUAAGACCUGGGGAAGGUGAUGACAAAAUUUCCAGGCUCCUGCAGUACACUAUAGACUGGAACUCCAUUUUCUUGCAAGACAGAUGGGUUCAACAUUGUGACAAGCUGAAAGAGUAGAUCUGGUUGUGCAUCAAAAAGAUCAGGAAGACAAUUCCGCAUCACCUUCUCAAAAGAAUUGACUUCAUUACCAGGUACACUGUACCAACAUUUUGGCUCUCCCCAGUGCAGAUAAUUCAUAGAGUAAAAACAGUGAUCUUCAAAAUGCCAGCAAAAAGAUGAGAAUAGCAUGCCAAUAUACAGCCAGGGCACCAUAACACCAGUUAUAUUAUGAUGAACAGCUUGAAGCAUUGAUCCUUUCAACUUGGGCAAGUUAUUGAGAUUCCAUGGGCUACCACAAUAUUCAUCCCAUACCUUAGCCUCAACAGAUUCUGGUCUCUGAUCAUUUACACGUGGAAAUCCACUCCCAUAAAUUGAAGUAUCCAAAUCACUACCAUACAUAACUUCAACUUCACCUGCUGAUCCCUCCACAAUUUCCCAAAACUUUUUCUCCAUUUGCACCCGUGAAGCAGAACCUGAUCCAAACCAUUUCCUCUUGGCCCGUUCAGCAACACGCCUAAAAGCUUCCACCGUAAAGCGUUUACCAGGCACAAAACCAAAGCUAUCCUUAUCCGAGUUCAAGCAUUCAAAGCAAUACCAAUUCCCAGGAGGGAUUUGCUUUAGUGGAGGCGAGAGACAAUAAAUGUGCCAUCCCUUAUUACACCUAUCGCACAAAAGCAUCACUUCACCAUGCAAACCACUCUUGCAUUGCUCACACAUUUGAUCAAGCUCUUCAACUUCCCCCUUCUCAACUUUAUUGGAAACCCUGACCUUCUCACCAUCAACAUUCUUUCUUCUCCUUUUUGAUCCAUAAAUCUCAGCUUUAUCUUGACAUUUCUUAUCCUCUUCCACUCCCCUUUUGAAACUCUUAGUCGUUCCCUUAUUCAGCCGGUUAUAAUACUUCUCAUAAUCAUACAGAUGCUCAAAAUACAAUUGACACAAAACAUGCUUUGCACACUCUGAAAUCUUCUUCCCUGAAGUCACAAAUUUGGAAACCUCCCGCCACUUCUUCUCCUUCACAACUUUAUCAUACCCACCAAACCUCUUCACAGCAUUAAACAAUUUACACAAAUCCAACUCUUCCCCUUCAAAAAUCACCCUCUUCCUCGACUUCUUACCACAAUGAUCCUCCAAAAACCUCCUGUACUCCAACUCAAAAGUUUUUGAAUCACACGAAGCAGGCCUAGCCUGUAACUGAUGAAUAGCCUGUGUUUUCGUGGGAAAGCUAAAAUUAUCCAAAUUCAAUGCAAAUGGUGGUGUCCAGCUCUUUGGUGGGACAAUCUUACAUAUCCCAUAUUUCUCAGCCUCUGCUCUGAUCUUGUAUAUAUACCCUAAAGGGUCCUCAAAUUCCUCUUCACUCGGAUAAUAAACUGGUGCUGGAGGUAUAUGCAAUGACCCAGAUGAUGAUACACUCAAGUUUUGAACCAAAACCCCUUUCUCCACAGCUCUAGGCCUCCCCUUCCCCAUUCCCACUACUCACAUAUUAUAUCUAUGCAUCCAUAGAUACAAGUAUAAAACAAAUGAAACUUAACAAUCCAAAAGUUUUAAGAUCCCCAAACAAUGAAACACUUAUAAAUUCUAGGGUUUCAAGCGUACCUUGAAAAAGUGAGAGAGAAAGAGAAAAGGUCUGCUUCGUGUGCUCUCUUUGUUUAUAGAGUAAUGGAUAGAGAGUGAGUUUCGUGGGAAAUUUG
This 6293-nucleotide unclassified non-coding RNA is filed under the name Hevea brasiliensis (rubber tree). Lineage: Eukaryota; Viridiplantae; Streptophyta; Magnoliopsida; Malpighiales; Euphorbiaceae. The record is from RNAcentral.